AUGGCUAAAUUCUUUUGGAGUAGUUAUCUUGACAAGAAGGCAAUGCAUUAGGUCUCUUGGGAUAACCUAGUGACACCAAAGUGCAAGGGGGGCAUGGGAUUUGGUGAAAAGCACCAGUUUAACAUAGCCAUGCUUGGUAAACAGGGGUGGAGGCUAUUAACCCAGCCGAAUACUCUCUGUUCAAGAGUUCUGAAAGGCCGUUAUUACCUGGAUGCAGAGUUUAUGAACACAACUAUACCACACUCUGCGUCGGCAACUUGGCAAGCGAUUGGGGCUGGACGGGAAGCUCUCAAGAGAGGCUUGAUAAAAAGGAUUGGUAAUGGAACAUCCACGUCCAUUUGGACUGACAAAUGGAUACCAGGUACCAUUUCCAUGACACCACUGCUGAAACCGCCGAACACACCAUUGGAAACAGUGGCUGACUUGAUUGACAACGAGAAUGGGACUUGGUGGCGGUAG
Molecule: ribosomal RNA, 459 nt
Filed under: Triticum aestivum (bread wheat)
Lineage: Eukaryota; Viridiplantae; Streptophyta; Magnoliopsida; Poales; Poaceae
Description: partial small subunit ribosomal RNA
Source: RNAcentral